GUUGUGGCUGCACUGCACAAGCUUCACACCGGGCAUUUGCGGCGACUAGAAAACGUAGAGGCUUUGAGGCAGCAAAGGAAAGAACAGAAUAUGACCGCUAACUAGCUAUUCGCCAACACAUUCUUCCCGCCUCUAUCGUAAGGUUUUCAAGUGGGAAAAGGUUUUCGUAGUUCAGAAAGCUUACCUUCUAUGCGCACCGUCCGGCUAGUGCUUCAUGCUACCAGUGGCGGGUGCAGUGGCGCGACCUGAUCAGCUCGUUUGCAAAGCAAUUUCACCUGGGACUAGCAGUGGGUAGGCAGCGUAUCUCCGUCACCGUGGUCUCGGUGGUCUCCUAGCAUAACGCCUCGCGCUGCAGAAGGCAGCACGUCUUUCUACCCAGCUUGCUGGCUCCCAGAGUGACGAUGAAUCCCUAUUCCGUGUCGGGUGAACGACGCCUCGAGCCGACACCCUCAGCGGCAUGGCAGAGCCGUUCUGUCUUCGUGCUGCAUUCGCGCUAGUGGUUUAGGCGCUCCGGAGGGUGCGCACGGUAGGAUCGGCGCACGAGAGAAUGUACGGAAAAUUCCAAAGGCGGGCGUUUUCUCGUAGCUAUUUAAAAAAGAGGCGAGAAAAGGAAGCACUUGAAGUGAGCUGUGAAGUUGCAUCAAGACUACUUCAAGUAUAUGCAUCGAACUUCAUAGAUCGUGGUUCUAGAGAAAUCUUACCACAAAAUGAACCGCUUCGUUUCCUCUUAGUUUUCAUUUUGCGAAACGCUUUUCCUUGGUAUGCGGAGAGUUCCGCCCAGGUUUUCUGGGCAUGCUGAUCUCUCGGGGUGGGAUCAAUGAGGGUAACAUCCGAAGAAAAGAAACGUUCCUCUUGAAUCCUCCGGAAAGGUGUGUUAGCCUGGGGGACUCUCUUCGCUCUGUCGGAUUUUGGGGCAGCCUGUGGGUGAGGAUUCAGCUUGGAGCUAGAGGCACCAGCCACGUCGCACUGACUUUUGUCACCAGAGCCUUCUACAAUGAUGCUUCCUGCUGAGUCAUCUCUGGGGUCGGACAAAAUGGUUUGCGUGGAUGACUGACUUUUGCGCCCCAUCGCAGACACGGGUUUCGUUACCCGAGGCGCCAUAUCAGUAGAUUGCGCUAGCAUUCCUGGAUGGGAAUCAAUUUGUGAUGCACUGAAAGCGCUCCCUAUUUGUUCGUUUGAACUGCAAGCGCGCAGUCCAUCAAAUGCGAUCCCAUUUCCACCGUCUUCCAUCGCUGCGCGCGGCUUGUAUCUAGGAUCCGCAUCUUUGCUAGAGUGAAGUCUCUCUGGUUUCCUGAAACCUGCGCAAACGUUUGACUUUUGAGCUUUCGUAUGGCAAUUCUCAGUUAAGGAAUGCCAGCUUGAACAAGGAGAUCCGUGCUCUCUACGCGUUCGUUUGUCUAAAGGUUUCCCCGUAUCUCUUUUCUGAUGAUUUUGGAUCUGAUUUGCACAGACUGGCAAGUCUCCUCCGUCUUGCGCAUGAAACCGAUAUUGCUCUUCUAAAGAAUCCCA
Cyanidioschyzon merolae strain 10D is the source of this 1509-nucleotide RNA transcript. RefSeq lists it as hypothetical. The transcript has a single exon. The record is from RefSeq and is a predicted model, not a curated record. NCBI's taxonomy places the organism in Eukaryota, Rhodophyta, Bangiophyceae, Cyanidiales, Cyanidiaceae.